UACGUAGGGGACGAGCGUUGUCCGGAAUUACUGGGCGUAAAGGGCGCGCAGGCGGUAUAUCAAGUCAGCUGUCAAAGACUGGGGCUCAACCCUGGUAUGCGGUUGAAACUGAUAUGCUGGAGUGCUGUAGAGGCAAGUGGAAUUCCCAGUGUAGCGGUGAAAUGCGUAGAUAUUGGGAAGAACACCGGUGGCGAAGGCGACUUGCUGGGCAGCAACUGACGCUGAGGCGCGAAAGCCAGGGGAGCAAACGGGAUUAGAUA
This 260-nucleotide ribosomal RNA is filed under the name uncultured prokaryote. Its description in RNAcentral is "partial 16S ribosomal RNA". It matches the Rfam family "Bacterial small subunit ribosomal RNA", at positions 524 to 784 of the family's 1533-position model. The record is from RNAcentral.